CCCUGCAGCCCAUGACUGGAUACUCACUGAAACUAAGCAGUUUUAGCCUGGUCAGUACCUGGAUGGGAGACCACAUGGGAAAACCAGGUUGCUGUUGGAA
This 100-nucleotide ribosomal RNA is filed under the name Danio rerio (zebrafish). The record is from RNAcentral. Lineage: Eukaryota; Metazoa; Chordata; Actinopteri; Cypriniformes; Danionidae.